This is a long non-coding RNA of Acanthochromis polyacanthus (spiny chromis), 861 nucleotides long. RefSeq lists it as uncharacterized. The record is from RefSeq and is a predicted model, not a curated record. NCBI's taxonomy places the organism in Eukaryota, Metazoa, Chordata, Actinopteri, Pomacentridae. The transcript has 6 exons.
GAACCUCUCUAUACGCAUGGGCGGAGAGAGUUCACUUUGUCUGCUACCAGUGACCAAGCGCCACUUCUGCAGCUGCGUGUGCUCAGUGGAUGUGUGACAUUGAGACAUCAAUUAGUACACAUAUUUGGGCAACAAGAAGACAAGUGAGACUUAGCUGUGUGUUAAAGUCUAUUUGUUUGAUCAGCUUCACCAAGCCUCUGCCUUGCUCUAACCUCCUAGUGCUGAGAAUGAAUGUGGAAAUGCAAAGAAUGCAGUUUUGAAGGAGCAUUAUCGUGCAUUUGAGCUGUCAGCUUCACCAACUAGAGAGGUUACCCUUAUUGAGCUUGCUGAGCUGAAGGACCCAUAUCCUCUUGUGGACUACUUGGUUGGUGGUGUGCGUAUGACAACACUGAAAAGAUUCAUCAUAGUGGAAGACUAAAGGUGACCAGUAAUGGCAAACCCCGUAGUUCUGCGGAUCCUCUUUGGUGGUGAAUAUGACUCAAGAAAACUUACCCUUGCUUCUGGAAUCCCUGGAACAGUGGAAGAGCUACAAACAAUAAUAAAGACUGUGUUUCAAGUGAAGGAUGACUUUCGGUUGCAAUACAUGGACAUUGACUUCAACCAGUUCAUGAACCUAACUUCAGUUUCUGAAAUUCAAAACAAAGGCACACUUAAAGUUAUAUACUGCUCAGUGUCUUCACCUGAGGAGCCUUACGUCACUUUGUAUCCAGUGAGCUCACCUGAAGGGGCCUCGUUUACCACUGCAGAUCCUCAAACACCAUCCUCUUCAGUUGCCUCUUCAUGCAGUGAUGAUACACUCUACACCUCAACUCCACAUUCCUCUCCAGAAACUCAGUCCUCAAAAGUGUCAUCGUGGCCCCA